CCUACGAGAGGCAGCAGUGAGGAAUAUUGGUCAAUGGGCGCGAGGCUGAACCAGCCAAGUCGCGUGAGGGAAGAAGGUGCUAAGGAUUGUAAACCUCUUUUGUCGGGGAGCAAAAGACGCCACGCGAGGCGGUCCGAGAGUACUCGAAGAAAAAGCAUCGGCUAACUCCGUGCCAGCAGCCGCGGUAAUACGGAGGAUGCGAGCGUUAUCCGGAUUUAUUGGGUUUAAAGGGUGCGCAGGCGGAAGAUCAAGUCAGCGGUAAAAUUGGGAAGCUCAACCACAUCGAGCCGUUGAAAAUGGUUUUCUUGAGUGAGCGAGAAGUAUGCGGAAUGCGUGGUGUAGCGGUGAAAUGCAUAGAUAUCACGCAGAACUCCGAUUGCGAAGGCAGCAUACCGGCGCUCAACUGACGCUCAUGCACGAAAGUGUGGGUAUCGAACAGGAUUAGAUACCCGGGUAGUC
This 459-nucleotide ribosomal RNA is filed under the name uncultured bacterium. RNAcentral describes it as "partial 16S ribosomal RNA". It matches the Rfam family "Bacterial small subunit ribosomal RNA", at positions 338 to 795 of the family's 1533-position model. The record is from RNAcentral.